CCUGACCUCGUGAUCUACCCGCCUCAGCCUCCCGAAGUGCUGGGAUUACAGGUGUGAGCCAUUGCGCCUGGCCCAACAAACUCCUUUUUAUAUCUAGAUAUAUCCCAUUAGUUCUGUCCUUCUAGAGAACCCUGACUAAUACACUUCCUCAUGAUCCAUAAUUUGUACCUUACCUUCUGGGGCUUUCGGGGACUUGAGUCUAGUUAUAAAUCUAGGAAAGAGAGAGGUGGUGGGGAUGGGUUCUGCAGAGGAUUAUUACAGGAUCUUUAGACAAAGGGGAACCAGUCCUCUCAGAUGAUGGAAGGGUUGCUUCUAUUAGCAAAGAAGAUUCAGCAGAACUUGGGGUUCAAGUUCCCAGCUUUACUGGAAUCUCCCCGUAUAUCCCCUUCCAGUUCUCAGGGCCCCUCUCCUUCCCAAUCAGUACCCUUACUUUAACAAAAGAGGUACUACAUGGCUGCAAAUUCAAUUUGCCUUGUAAUUCAGCCACCCACAAAAUUAGACUUUGGAUUUAGUUUCCCUGUGGCUAUAGGAGAUUAGGGUUUCUUUAAGUAGUCAUUGGAGCUUCCAGAUUCUUAAUGUGAGCCUUGAGCUGGAAAUUUGAAGUCCCGAGCUCAUCAUUUUCUUUCCUUAUGUUCUCCAGCCCAAUGAGAAGCAUGUCCUCCUUAUUUUCAUUAAAAGGAACUACAGCCUCAAAUGCUUAGUAACCUAGAGCCUAGCUUUCUAUAAAACUUGAUUACAGGUCUCUAAAUGUAAUAAUUUUACAUUACUGUCUUGUCAUUGCAGGCCAUAAAGUAUCAGUGCCCUCUUUACCUCUGGAAAUAGGCUCAUUAAUGCCUGUAAAUCUAAUCAGAUCAGAAAAUCAAUUCUAGAUAAGCCAGAACGAAUUCAAAGAAAUCAUCCUAAGAUUCUGCUCCUCUGGAACUACUCUGAGUACUGGAUUUUUUUUUAAAGUGCCACAAUUGACCUUUCAGUGAGAGAAUUCUCCCAGUUGAGUUUAAAUUCACAGAGAGCAGGCUCCAGACACCCACCACAGACUGAGUGUCCUCUGGCAAGGCUGAUCCAAGACGGCCUUCACUUUGUUUAUCCUCCUUCCCUCAGAACAUCUUGUUUCUCCUGUAGGCUUUGACAAAAUAGUUGAGUCUAAAUUCUAUAAAUACAGGGUACUGAGAAGAUGGUUUUGCCUGGGAACAUUUUUUAAAGCCCAAAGUGUUAAUAGGUGGUGUUGUAAUUAUCUCCUGUGUCCUAUUAAUUUCUGAGGUCCUGAAAGAACCACACUUAUUCUUAGGAGAGAUGUCUGAUCUUGAAGUUACUGAAGAACCCCCAAUUUUAUCCAGGUAUCGAGGACCUCUCUGAAGGACUCUGAGCAGAAUUUAACAUUCAGGAGUGAUUUCUUUAAAUUUUAAUUUUAUUUAAGAAAUUUGGCUCUUCCUAUUCUCCAUGAUGGUGCAGGAUCAAGGUGAAAAGAAGAUCCCCACUUGGGAACUUCACAUCCACAAACUCGCCUCAAUAUCUGUGUGGGGAGGGUAGAGACAGACUGACCUGAGCAGCUCACAGGCCAGACCCCUGUGUUUUCCAAAGCCAAGUACAGCAUCAGAUCCUUCAGCAUCAGGAGAAAUGAAGAGAUUGCCGUCCACUGCACACUCUGAGGGGCCAAGGCAGAAACAAUCCUGGAGAAAGGUCUAAAGGAAUGGGAUUGGCAGCAAACAACUGUAUACCUGACUAACAGUGGCCUGAACAAAUAACGACAUAAUUUUCUCACCUUAUGAGAAGGCUGGAGGUAAGUGGCUGCUUGUAUUGGUUCAGAAGCUCAGUGGUGUUGGGACUGACACCACUGUGAUUCUCUUUGCCUUUCCCCCAUGGUUUCAAAAUGAUGGCUGUAUCCACGUUCAAGGAAGGAAGAAGAAAGUGCUGCAGUUCCAUUUUAUUGGGAAAGCAAAUGCUUUCCCAGAAACUUCACCAGAUUAUGCUUAUAUCUCAUUGGCUAGAACCACGUCACAUGGCCACCCCUAGCUGCAAGGGAGGCUGGAUGAAAGCUACUCCAUCAUCUUGAAUCCUGGAGUGAAGAUGAGAUGGGGAAGAACUAAGCUGACCUUUGAUGAACAGACGGCAUGAGCGUAAAAUGAACCUUUAUUGUAAGUCAGUGAGGCUGGCGGGGGCAUGUUAAUGACUGUGGCAUGCCCUUGACUGAUUAUAUUCUUCACUGACAUGCUGCCUAGCAUGCAGAGGCCAUGCGACCCUUGGGGAGGCUCCUACUUGCCUUGGAAAAGUAGCUCCUCCUCUUCUCAAAUGUAAUAAUGGAAACCUUACAUGGGUGGAUCCAGGGGUAAAGCUCUUUGUGGUGUAUAGCAACAGAAUGUUAAGUCAAAGUGGUUGUCAACAAAGUUUAUCGAACAGCAGCUAUAUUUUUUAUAAUGAACACUGGUUUGCCUGGAACCUUGAAGUAACCAUGAAUUUUUCCUAGACCCUAAUACUAUCAGAAAGAAACAAAUCACCCAACAAUAAGAUCAGUAACUAAAACCAACAAAUCCCAAAGGCAUCUCACAGUGCUGGCAUAUGUCUCUGCCAUAGCUCAUGCUCAUAAACUGCAAUGAGCCAACCCUGGCAUCAUGAAGGACCCCGAUUUUAAAAAUGGGUAAAGAAGUUCUGAAAGCCUGGGCAACAUAGUGAGACCAUUCUCUUAAAAAAAAAAAAUUA
This 2694-nucleotide long non-coding RNA is filed under the name Homo sapiens (human). RNAcentral's name for it is "HSALNT0303030". The record is from RNAcentral. Lineage: Eukaryota; Metazoa; Chordata; Mammalia; Primates; Hominidae.